Molecule: ribosomal RNA, 264 nt
Filed under: uncultured bacterium
Lineage: Bacteria
Description: partial 16S ribosomal RNA
Rfam family: Bacterial small subunit ribosomal RNA
Source: RNAcentral
UACAGAGGUCUCAAGCGUUUGUUCGGAAUCACUGGGGCGUAAAGGGGUGCGUAGGUGGCGUGGUAAGUCAGAUGUGAAAAGCCCCGGGGCUCAACCUCGGAAUUGCAUCCGAUACUGCCGUGCUAGAGUACUGAAGAGGUGACUAGAAUUCUCGGUGUAGCAGUGAAAUGACGUAGAUAUCGAGAGGAAUACCAACGGGCGAAGGCAGGUCACUGGGGCAGUUACUGACACUGAGGCACGAAGGCCAGGGGGAGCAAAACGGGG